Molecule: ribosomal RNA, 465 nt
Filed under: Vreelandella stevensii
Lineage: Bacteria; Pseudomonadati; Pseudomonadota; Gammaproteobacteria; Oceanospirillales; Halomonadaceae
Description: partial 16S ribosomal RNA
Rfam family: Bacterial small subunit ribosomal RNA
Source: RNAcentral
CCUACGGGAGGCAGCAGUGGGGAAUAUUGGACAAUGGGCGAAAGCCUGAUCCAGCCAUGCCGCGUGUGUGAAGAAGGCCUUCGGGUUGUAAAGCACUUUCAGUGGGGAAGAAAGCCUUGGGGCUAAUACCCUCGAGGAAGGACAUCACCCACAGAAGAAGCACCGGCUAACUCCGUGCCAGCAGCCGCGGUAAUACGGAGGGUGCGAGCGUUAAUCGGAAUUACUGGGCGUAAAGCGCGCGUAGGCGGUCUGAUAAGCCGGUUGUGAAAGCCCCGGGCUCAACCUGGGAACGGCAUCCGGAACUGUCAGGCUAGAGUGCAGGAGAGGAAGAUAGAAUUCCCGGUGUAGCGGUGAAAUGCGUAGAGAUCGGGAGGAAUACCAGUGGCGAAGGCGGCCUUCUGGACUGACACUGACGCUGAGGUGCGAAAGCGUGGGUAGCAAACAGGAUUAGAUACCCCUGUAGUC